This 418-nucleotide ribosomal RNA is filed under the name Chamaeleo zeylanicus (Indian chameleon). RNAcentral describes it as "partial small subunit ribosomal RNA". It matches the Rfam family "Bacterial small subunit ribosomal RNA", at positions 773 to 1403 of the family's 1533-position model. Lineage: Eukaryota; Metazoa; Chordata; Lepidosauria; Squamata; Chamaeleonidae. The record is from RNAcentral.
UAGGAUUAGAUACCCUACUAUGCUCAAUCGUAAACAUCGAUUUUUUCACUUAUACGCCAGAGAACAACGAGCAAAGCUUAAAACCCAAAGGACUUGGCGGCGCUUCAUAUCACCCUAGAGGGGCCUGUCACAUAAUCGAUAACCCACGAUACACCUUACCAUCUUUAGCCUAUACAGCCUAUAUACCGCCGUCGCCAGCCCAUCUUAAGAGAGGGACAAAAUGGGCCAAAAAGUGUUUACACUCAUACGACAGGUCAAGGUGUAGCUUAUAAGGUGGUAAAUGAUGGACCACAUUGCUUAACAAAGCUAUACCAAAACUGCACUGAAACACACACUUUGAGGUGAAUUUAACAGUAAGACAAACAAGAAAAUCUGUCUAAAGAAUGCUCUGGAGCGUGCACACACCGCCCGUCACCCU